UGCGUAGAUAAACAAAAAUCAGCUUCGGACUGAUGCGCGAAUGAUGAAGGACCGAUAUCAGACUGCUGUGGCUGCAUUGACUGUCGGAACUGUUCAGAGUAUGAUACAUCUUGGGAAGUCUGUAACUCAAUACCAUCAAAUCAUUUGUGUUGAGGUAUGAUAUCAUCUAAUAUUCACAAAUAAAAAUAAAAAUCAAUAAAUAUAAAUUAUCAA
RNAcentral lists this long non-coding RNA (213 nucleotides) under Elaeis guineensis (African oil palm). RNAcentral describes it as "long non-coding RNA (EGUI_LNC035455)". Lineage: Eukaryota; Viridiplantae; Streptophyta; Magnoliopsida; Arecales; Arecaceae. The record is from RNAcentral.